Molecule: long non-coding RNA, 1803 nt
Filed under: Pogona vitticeps (central bearded dragon)
Lineage: Eukaryota; Metazoa; Chordata; Lepidosauria; Squamata; Agamidae
Description: lncRNA (ENSPVIG00000014032.1)
Source: RNAcentral
AUUUCCUGGAACAGAUGAGGAACAUUCAUUGGGGCUUGUCCACACUGCAAUAUCGCUCCCAGUUGUACUACAGUUGCUCUGGCUGUAGAUUUAGAUUAUCCUGAUACUGUUUGUCCACAGAUAGGAAAGAUGUUGCUGGGAUGUGCUAGGUCAUACCUGUCCACACGCAUAGGGAAUUGCUCCUUAAGUUCUCACUCCGAAAAUGGGUCCACCCCUUUUGUCUAUUUUCUCUGCCCUUUUCCCACUUAGUGCACUCUCUCUUCCCUUCCCUCCUUGCGUCUUGUGGGCACCAGUCUGCAGUAUGAGUAUCUUAGUCCAGCAGAUGUGGACAACAUCAGGUUCAGGAAAGAUGGGUUAUAUAUUUAUUACAUCUCCCUCUCCCUUCUCUUCAGCGUACAAGUUGUGUUCCUUUUGAUAAGCCACGCAAUCUAGCCUUCUCAGGCCAUGCAGGAUGCAGAUGUGGCUUGGUGUCUGUAUUUUUGGUCUUCCUUCGACAAAGUUUGUGUUAUAGAAACAGAAGAGGUGUGUCCUAGCACAAGAAGCACAGGCGUCAGAACAGGGGGGUCUGGCGAGGUCAAAGCAAGGACCCAUCCACAUUGAUAGCCUCUUCCUACCAAUCAACAGACAGAGGAACCUUUCCUUUCAAAAUGAGGGACAGAGUUUCUCAAACCUUCCUGGCUUUCAUUGGUGGCAUCUUCUUGUCCCUGCGAUUCUGUCAUGCAGAAAUCAUAUAUGCACAGAAGGGCUCUUCACCACAGCUGCCAUGUCUGUGCCCAACCUGCUCUGGAGAGCAUGAAAUGGUGACCUGGUACUUUCACCAUCAAGAGAAAACAACAUUUCUGUUACGUAAAAAAGAAAACCACAUAGAGCGGUCUCUGGCUGCCUGGGACCGCCUGGAGCUGCUUCAAAACUACUCCCUCCUCUUCAUCAAUGUGACAGACAACGAAACUGGUAGAUACUGGUGUGAAUCAGGCAAUUAUUAUGAUCUUGUGAUAGUCACAGGCAAGAGGCAAAUGCUGGAGAGCUGCCAGGCCGAGACGGCCUGCUACGUCUUGAGCUGUUCUGUUUCGGAGAGGGAGCUGCGUGGUGUGGACGUGGUGAGCUGGUGGGAGGACGGAAAGCAGCUCCAGAAGGAAGAUGAGAAAAGAGGGUACCACAUCUUCACAGGGCAAAGAGCAUCUCAGCUCCACAUGUGUCUGAAAAAGAAACCCAGAGAUCGAAGAGUGAAGUGUCGCUUUGAUCGGCAGGCCGAGAUCAACUUCAAUUUGACUGCACAGGGCCAGCAUUUUUGUAUUUAUAACAGUGUGCGGACUUUUCCCCAAGGUACAGAGAAUGAUUGCUUGUCAUCUCAGUGCCCUGAAAACAGUGGAGGUGGGGCACUAUGGAUCUCACUGACUAUUUGUAUCAUACUGCAGUUGCUCAUCAUAUUUGUUCUUACGGUGUUGUUGUGGAGAAGAACCUGUAGUCGGAAGCAUCAAGACCAUCUAAAGGAACUCAGCAAAGAUAUUUCCAAGUUGGAAUACAAGGCACAAGUCUAUGAGAACAUCAAGACCCGAUCGGAGAUCCUGUGACAUGGGAAAUACUCUGCUUCUCACUGACUCAUCUAGUCCUGGAACAUAGCCAGCAGCACUUGAAUAUUAUUACAUUUUCCUCGCUUCUAACCUUUUCCAGGAAUUUUUUUUUCUUGUGGGUUAUUCCUGUGAGACUAUCUCAUCCUCUCCAACCUUUUGUAAAUUUCUAGAUCAGCUGUCCUUAGUCAAUGGCCGUCCAGAGCUGGACAAUAAAAAUUCCAAGGAUUCUGCA